UAGGGAAUCUUCCGCAAUGGGCGAAAGCCUGACGGAGCAACGCCGCGUGAGUGAUGAAGGUCUUCGGAUCGUAAAACUCUGUUAUUAGGGAAGAACAUAUGUGUAAGUAACUGUGCACAUCUUGACGGUACUAAUCAGAAAGCCACGGCUAACUACGUGCCAGCAGCCGCGGUAAUACGUAGGUGGCAAGCGUUAUCCGAAAUUAUUGGGCGUAAAGCGCGCGUAGGCGGUUUUUUAAGUCUGAUGUGAAAGCCCACGGCUCAACCGUGGAGGGUCAUGGGAAACUGGAAAACUUGAGUGCAGAAGAGGAAAGUGGAAUUCCAUGUGUAGCGGUGAAAUGCGCAGAGAUAUGGAGGAACACCAGUGGCGAAGGCGACUUUCUGGUCUGUAACUGACGCUGAUGUGCGAAAGCGUGGGGAUCAAACAGGAUUAGAUACCCUGGUAGUCCACGCCGUAAACGAUGAGUGCUAAGUGUUAGGGGGUUUCCGCCCCUUAGUGCUGCAGCUAACGCAUUAAGCACUCCGCCUGGGGAGUACAUGAGAAGGUUG
Molecule: ribosomal RNA, 548 nt
Filed under: uncultured bacterium
Lineage: Bacteria
Description: bacterial SSU rRNA
Rfam family: Bacterial small subunit ribosomal RNA
Source: RNAcentral